UAGGCACCAUGAGUUGAUAGAACAUUGUAGCUAUUGAUAACUUUUCAAUGGUAGGAUCCAAAAAAUUCUAUAUAUAUUAAAACCCAAUGCAACUAAACACUGCAGCUAAGCACAGUGAAAUGACGAAACUAAACUCAGUUUUCUCAUCAGCACAGUGAAAUCACGGUUUUGCCCUUGGCUAAUUGCUUUGUGUUUUCCCCAUUUUGCCCCCCCUCUCCUUCGAUUGUAACGACUUGGAGCCUUCGUUCUAUCAGAUGCUGGGUUCGCUUCUAACCAGGUUGGUUGGCCUGGUUGCGGGGCAAUGAUGGGAGAGGCCGGUCUACUGUUGGAGAUUAUCUGGAGGCUUCGAUUUUUAUGGGAGUAGCGUGCGUUGGUCUUCUUUUUCAUAUCGAACUCCAGCUUGCUCUCUGUUUCAGUCUCUUUCUCUCACUGAUCUGAAGGUUUAUGCUUCUUUGGCAAGAAGAGAAAUGCUGCAAGGAACCCAAAAAUACGAGGACUCUUCAUGCCUAAUAGGAACAAUAGAUGACUGUUAGGAAUGUAACCCAAAUUGGCCAAACAACAGGCAGAGCUUAGCAGAUUGUGCAAUUGGGUUUGGCCAAUAUGCUCUUGGAGGCAAAGGUGGUGAGUAUUAUAUUGUCACAGACUCUUCUAAUGAUGAUGCUGUGAAUCCAAGGCCAGGCACUCUGAGUUAUGCUGUGAUACAGACUGAGCCUCUCUGGAUUGUGUUCCCUGGCAACAUGCUCAUCAAGCUCUCCCAAGAGCUCAUCUUCAACAGCUACAAGACCCUUGAUGGCCGUGGAGCCAAUGUCCACAUUGUGGGUGGUGGCUGCAUCACAUUGCAGUUCAUAAGCAAUGUCAUCAUCCACAAUGUGCAUAUCCACAACUGUUAUCCGUCAGGCACAUGAGUUUUCCACUUCAUUUCAUGAAUUUUUAUUUACCAUAUACGCAUGGUUUGCUCAUGGUUAAGUUUAUUCAAAUUUACUCGAUAUAUAUGAUUUACGAAUGAUUGCAAAUAUUUAGUUUUAUCUAAUACAUGUGGCUUAUGAAUAAGAGACUGUGUGUAUCUAGAUUUACUUUAGAUUUACCUUAAAACCCUUUGCCGGA
This is a long non-coding RNA of Prunus persica (peach), 1104 nucleotides long. RefSeq lists it as uncharacterized. Lineage: Eukaryota; Viridiplantae; Streptophyta; Magnoliopsida; Rosales; Rosaceae. The record is from RefSeq and is a predicted model, not a curated record. The transcript is spliced from 2 exons.